Molecule: ribosomal RNA, 104 nt
Filed under: uncultured Cenococcum
Lineage: Eukaryota; Fungi; Ascomycota; Dothideomycetes; Gloniales; Gloniaceae
Description: partial 5.8S ribosomal RNA
Rfam family: 5.8S ribosomal RNA
About the family: 5.8S ribosomal RNA (5.8S rRNA) is a component of the large subunit of the eukaryotic ribosome. It is transcribed by RNA polymerase I as part of the 45S precursor that also contains 18S and 28S rRNA.
Source: RNAcentral
AAACUUUCAACAACGGAUCUCUUGGUUCUGGCAUCGAUGAAGAACGCAGCGAAAUGCGAUAAGUAGUGUGAAUUGCAGAAUUCAGUGAAUCAUCGAAUCUUUGA